CUAAUACAUGCAAGUCGAACGAACUCUGGUAUUGAUUGGUGCUUGCAUCAUGAUUUACAUUUGAGUGAGUGGCGAACUGGUGAGUAACACGUGGGAAACCUGCCCAGAAGCGGGGGAUAACACCUGGAAACAGAUGCUAAUACCGCAUAACAACUUGGACCGCAUGGUCCGAGUUUGAAAGAUGGCUUCGGCUAUCACUUUUGGAUGGUCCCGCGGCGUAUUAGCUAGAUGGUGGGGUAACGGCUCACCAUGGCAAUGAUACGUAGCCGACCUGAGAGGGUAAUCGGCCACAUUGGGACUGAGACACGGCCCAAACUCCUACGGGAGGCAGCAGUAGGGAAUCUUCCACAAUGGACGAAAGUCUGAUGGAGCAACGCCGCGUGAGUGAAGAAGGGUUUCGGCUCGUAAAACUCUGUUGUUAAAGAAGAACAUAUCUGAGAGUAACUGUUCAGGUAUUGACGGUAUUUAACCAGAAAGCCACGGCUAACUACGUGCCAGCAGCCGCGGUAAUACGUAGGUGGCAAGCGUUGUCCGGAUUUAUUGGGCGUAAAGCGAGCGCAGGCGGUUUUUUAAGUCUGAUGUGAAAGCCUUCGGCUCAACCGAAGAAGUGCAUCGGAAACUGGGAAACUUGAGUGCAGAAGAGGACAGUGGAACUCCAUGUGUAGCGGUGAAAUGCGUAGAUAUAUGGAAGAACACCAGUGGCGAAGGCGGCUGUCUGGUCUGUAACUGACGCUGAGGCUCGAAAGUAUGGGUAGCAAACAGGAUUAGAUACCCUGGUAGUCCAUACCGUAAACGAUGAAUGCUAAGUGUUGGAGGGUUUCCGCCCUUCAGUGCUGCAGCUAACGCAUUAAGCAUUCCGCCUGGGGAGUACGGCCGCAAGGCUGAAACUCAAAGGAAUUGACGGGGGCCCGCACAAGCGGUGGAGCAUGUGGUUUAAUUCGAAGCUACGCGAAGAACCUUACCAGGUCUUGACAUACUAUGCAAAUCUAAGAGAUUAGACGUUCCCUUCGGGGACAUGGAUACAGGUGGUGCAUGGUUGUCGUCAGCUCGUGUCGUGAGAUGUUGGGUUAAGUCCCGCAACGAGCGCAACCCUUAUUAUCAGUUGCCAGCAUUAAGUUGGGCACUCUGGUGAGACUGCCGGUGACAAACCGGAGGAAGGUGGGGAUGACGUCAAAUCAUCAUGCCCCUUAUGACCUGGGCUACACACGUGCUACAAUGGAUGGUACAACGAGUUGCGAACUCGCGAGAGUAAGCUAAUCUCUUAAAGCCAUUCUCAGUUCGGAUUGUAGGCUGCAACUCGCCUACAUGAAGUCGGAAUCGCUAGUAAUCGCGGAUCAGCAUGCCGCGGUGAAUACGUUCCCGGGCCUUGUACACACCGCCCGUCACACCAUGAGAGUUUGUAACACCCAAAGUCGGUGGGGUAACCUUUUAGGAACCAGCCGCCUAAGGUGGGACAGAUGAUUAGGGUGAAGUCGUAACAAGGUAGCCGUAGGAGAACCUGCGGUUG
This 1507-nucleotide ribosomal RNA is filed under the name Lactiplantibacillus pentosus. RNAcentral's name for it is "Lactobacillus pentosus 16S ribosomal RNA". It matches the Rfam family "Bacterial small subunit ribosomal RNA". Lineage: Bacteria; Bacillati; Bacillota; Bacilli; Lactobacillales; Lactobacillaceae. The record is from RNAcentral.